RNAcentral lists this ribosomal RNA (440 nucleotides) under uncultured bacterium. RNAcentral describes it as "partial 16S ribosomal RNA". It matches the Rfam family "Bacterial small subunit ribosomal RNA", at positions 338 to 795 of the family's 1533-position model. The record is from RNAcentral.
CCUACGGGUGGCAGCAGUGGGGAAUAUUGCACAAUGGGGGGAACCCUGAUGCAGCGACGCCGCGUGAGUGAAGAAGUAUUUCGGUAUGUAAAGCUCUAUCAGCAGGGAAGAAAAUGACGGUACCUGACUAAGAAGCCCCGGCUAACUACGUGCCAGCAGCCGCGGUAAUACGUAGGGGGCAAGCGUUAUCCGGAUUUACUGGGUGUAAAGGGAGCGUAGACGGUUAUGCAAGUCUGAAGUGAAAGCCCAAGGCUCAACCAUGGGACUGCUUUGGAAACUGGAAAACUGGAGUGCAGGAGAGGUAAGCGGAAUUCCGAGUGUAGCGGUGAAAUGCGUAGAUAUAUGGAAGAACACCAGUGGCGAAAGCGGCUCUCUGGUCUGUAACUGACGCUGAGGUUCGAAAGCGUGGGUAGCAAACAGGAUUAGAUACCCCAGUAGUC